RNAcentral lists this ribosomal RNA (401 nucleotides) under uncultured bacterium. RNAcentral describes it as "bacterial SSU rRNA". It matches the Rfam family "Bacterial small subunit ribosomal RNA", at positions 362 to 756 of the family's 1533-position model. The record is from RNAcentral.
UAUUGGACAAUGGGCGAAAGCCUGAUCCAGCCAUGCCGCGUGUGUGAAGAAGGUCUUCGGAUUGUAAAGCACUUUAAGUUGGGAGGAAGGGCAGUUACCUAAUACGUGAUUGUUUUGACGUUACCGACAGAAUAAGCACCGGCUAACUCUGUGCCAGCAGCCGCGGUAAUACAGAGGGUGCAAGCGUUAAUCGGAAUUACUGGGCGUAAAGCGCGCGUAGGUGGUUAGUUAAGUUGGAUGUGAAAUCCCCGGGCUCAACCUGGGAACUGCAUUCAAAACUGACUGACUAGAGUAUGGUAGAGGGUGGUGGAAUUUCCUGUGUAGCGGUGAAAUGCGUAGAUAUAGGAAGGAACACCAGUGGCGAAGGCGACCACCUGGACUGAUACUGACACUGAGUGCGA